CUCAGUAACGGCGAGUGAAGUGGCAAGAGCUCAGAUUUGAAAGCAGAUAUCUUUGAUAUCUGCAUUGUAAUCUGUAGAGGGGUGUUCAGGUAUGGCUUUGGUUCAAGUUCCUUGGAAUAGGAUGCCAUGGAGGGUGAGAGCCCCGUAAUUGGCCCAUGUCUUAUACCUUUGUGAACCUCCUUCAAUGAGUCGAGUUGUUUGGGAAUGCAGCUCUAAAUGGGUGGUAUAUUUCAUCUAAAGCUAAAUAUUGGUAGGAGACCGAUAGUGCACAAGUAGAGUGAUCGAAAGAUGAAAAGAACUUUGAAAAGAGAGUUAAAUAGUACGUGAAAUUGUUGAAAGAGAAGCACUUAUAACCAGAUUUGCCUGCAGCUGAUCAAUCUCCAUUUUUGGGGAUGCACUUGGUUGUUGGCAAGCCAGCAUCAGUUAAGGUGGCAGGAAAAAGGUAUAGAGAAUGUAGCUCUCUUGGGAGUGUUAUAGUUUUGUACUUAAUGCUGUCUACAUUGACUGAGGUAUGCACUCAUGUGAGGAUGCUGGCUUAAUGGAUAUAAGUGACCCGUCUUGAAACACGGACCAAGGAGUCUAACAGCCAUGCAAGUGUUUGGGUAGCAAACCCUUACGCAUAGUGAAAGUAAAUGGAGGUGGGAGCUGUAAAGUGCACCAUCGACCGAUCUUGAUGUUUUCAGAUGGAUUUGAGUAGGAGCAUGACUGUUGGGACCCGAAAGAUGGUGAACUAUGCCUGAACAGGGUGAAGCCAGAGGAAACUCUGGUGGAGGCUCGCAGCGGUUCUGACGUGCAAAUCGAUCGUCAAAUUUGGGUAUAGGGG
This 823-nucleotide ribosomal RNA is filed under the name Temperantia tiffanyae. RNAcentral's name for it is "eukaryotic LSU rRNA". It matches the Rfam family "Eukaryotic large subunit ribosomal RNA", at positions 79 to 923 of the family's 3401-position model. The record is from RNAcentral. Lineage: Eukaryota; Fungi; Ascomycota; Pezizomycetes; Pezizales; Pezizaceae.